Molecule: non-coding RNA, 115 nt
Organism: Triticum aestivum (bread wheat)
Lineage: Eukaryota; Viridiplantae; Streptophyta; Magnoliopsida; Poales; Poaceae
Source: Rfam
CUUGUACUCCCUCUGUCCGGAAAUACUUGUCAUUGAAAUGGAUGUAUCUAGAUGUAUUUUAGUUCUAGACACAUCCAUUUUGAUGACAAAUAAUUUCGGGCGGAGGGAGUACUUG